This is a long non-coding RNA of Ornithodoros turicata, 241 nucleotides long. RefSeq lists it as uncharacterized. The record is from RefSeq and is a predicted model, not a curated record. Lineage: Eukaryota; Metazoa; Arthropoda; Arachnida; Ixodida; Argasidae. The transcript is spliced from 3 exons.
AGUUGCAGUCCACCUCCACCAACAGGGUGGAAAACAAAGAUCGCCAUUCCGAUUAGCUGCUAUCUCCCAGUUCAAGCACUUUUGUGUCUGGACACUGGUUCCUGUGGAUGGGGUGUUACAAGCUUUACUGUCUGAUAUAGAAGUGAUGAGCAUCCAUAAGGACACAUGCCAGAAAGGGAGUCUCUUUGGGAUGACAAACCCUCAUCACCUCAUGAGGAUACAAUGGUUGACGAAUGGUUCU